Molecule: long non-coding RNA, 1087 nt
Filed under: Ananas comosus (pineapple)
Lineage: Eukaryota; Viridiplantae; Streptophyta; Magnoliopsida; Poales; Bromeliaceae
Description: long non-coding RNA (ACOM_LNC000016)
Source: RNAcentral
UUGAAACAGGAGACUCCAUAAAAGAGAGCACGGACCGUACAACUCAGCUUACCAUUACAAGAGUGUCAUUUCUUCGUAUACAAACUAACUCCACAACCACAAAAACCACACUUAUCUAUCACAUAACCUAUUAAUUAACUAAAACCGACUAACACCUUACGCAUGCAGUGCUACCUAUUAUAUAUAUACUAGUGAAAUACCCGCGCGAUGCUGCGGAUAUAAAAAUAUUUUUAUAAUAAUUUUUAGUUUUUUAUUUUUUAUAUAAUUUUAUAAGUCUAAUUAUUAAUUAAAUAAAGUUAUAUGAAAAUAAUUUAAUAGCGAUGCUGCGAAUAUAAAAAUAUUUUUAUAAUAACCUUUAGUUUUUUAUUUUUUAUAUAAUUUUAUAAGUCUAAUUAUUAAUUAAAUAAAGUUAUAUAAAAAGAGUAAUGCUUCUAUACUUUUUUUUUUUGGUUGCCGUUCAUUCACGCGUAUUCAACCGCUCAGAUUUGAUUUUUUUUAAAUUGUGACCUGCAAUAGCAGGUCACUUUAGGAGAGGUACCGGUUACCAGGUACCUUAAAAAAGGAUAUUUUUGUCUUUUAAUACAUGGGCAAUUUAGUCAUUUUACAUCUACUAUAUUUUCAAAAUUUUUAAUUUUUCUUUGUUUCCUUUUUCUCCCUCUAUCUUUCCUUUCAUAAUUUGGCAUUUCAUAUAAAGAAAAUUUCAAAUGAUUUGACAAUAUGAUCAUUGAAUUUAAACUUUAAAUAGUAAUAUGAAAUUCCUCUAAUUUAAAUUUCACUUUUAAAUUUAAAUUUUAAUAUUAUAUUCAAAUUUAUAUUUUAAAAAUUUAAGUUUCAUAUAAAUACUUUGAAAUAUGGUAAACAGAAAUAAUUAUUUAAAUUCUAGUCUUCUGGUUUAGGUUUGGUUUUGGGUUUUGAAAAAUUGGUCAGUUUUGAAUUUGGAUAUGGAUUUUUUAAAUCCGUCGAGUUCGGAAAUAAGUUUUGUGAUUGUUAGUCAGAUUCGAAUUCAAAUUCCCAACUAUUUUUUUCUCACCAAUAAUUCUAAUCUUUUUAAUUUAUAUGUUUAAAAUUAUAUUUAAAAUAUUUAUUA